Molecule: unclassified non-coding RNA, 235 nt
Filed under: Hevea brasiliensis (rubber tree)
Lineage: Eukaryota; Viridiplantae; Streptophyta; Magnoliopsida; Malpighiales; Euphorbiaceae
Source: RNAcentral
GGAAUGGCGACCGUAAAUGCACAAGUCAUGACUCACUAACCCAAAACAAUUCUCAUAUCUGAGGGUUCACUAUAAAUAGAUUAGAGACUCCCACACCCAAAAAUGGCAGCCGUAGUAUCAUCCUUGGCCGCCUCCAUUUCUUCUUUUCUAGUUCCUCCUUUUCCUUCUUCUUCUUCUUCCUUAUUUUUCACAAAAUUCAGGUCAGCACCAUUUCUUAGAUUCUCUUUUGCAGUUG